Long non-coding RNA from Formica exsecta, 968 nucleotides. RefSeq lists it as uncharacterized. The record is from RefSeq and is a predicted model, not a curated record. Lineage: Eukaryota; Metazoa; Arthropoda; Insecta; Hymenoptera; Formicidae. The transcript is spliced from 3 exons.
UCGCAAUAUAUUGUCGCUGUUAUUAUACACAGCGAGAAGAUGGAUUUACAGAUGGAGAGGCCGAAGCGUAUAAUUUCUAAACCAUUGCGCUAUCAGAGAACUUCUUCGGACGAAAGUCCGAAACGAAGAAAUACCGCAUCAGCAACUACCGGAGAUAUCAAUAAGGACAUCGACGAUUUGAGGAGGAUUGGGCAAAACAUGGAUAAUGAAAUAAAUUAUUUUUUUUCUCCAUAACAUACACUUAUACAAAAUCAAACAUCGUACACACGCGCAUACAUUCCAAAACAAUCAAAUGAACCACAUACAAACGUUGGGUCACAUACAGUCAUACAACCACAAAAAAUAUUUAAAUAUACAGCGGAAUAAAUAGUCAAGCACAUACAAAUAUUCAAUCGCAUACAAAUAUUGAAGCAUAUGGCAUAAACAAUCAAGCACACACAGAUAUUCAAUCACACACAAACAUUGAAGCACACGAUAUAAAUAAUCAAACAUACAUAGACCUUCAACCAUACACAAGCAUGCAAGCAUACAGUACAAAUAGUCAAACACACACAGAUCUUCAACCGCAUACAAGCAUUUAAUCAUGCAGCGCAAACAGUCCAGCACAGACAGACCUUCAACCGCAUACAAACAUUCAAUCAUACAGUAUAAACAAUCGAGCACACACAAAUCUUCAACCGCACACAAUUAAAACAUUUCAAAACACUUGUGCCACUAAUGUAUCGCAGGCAUCACAUACAUUACACACAUCUUCUUCCCCACACAAUAAUACAUCAGACAUAGAAACUGGAAAAACAAUUUACACUAAUGAUACAUUAUUCGAGUUUUAGGACAAUACGGAAACAUUAUCUCCUCAGGGCAGCACUAUACAUCAACGCAGACAAGUUCAUCAAGGAUCGGCUCAUGGUCAGCGUACUUUAACACAUGCAGAAAUAAUAGAUGGAAGAGCGCACAGCUGUAUACGUAAG